AUUGAACGCUGGCGGCAGGCCUAACACAUGCAAGUCGAGCGAGCGGCGGACGGGUGAGUAAUGUCCGGGAAACUGCCUGUUGGAGGGGGAUAACUACUGGAAACGGUAGCUACUACCGCAUACCAUCAGAUGUUCCCAGAUGGGAUUAGCUAGUUGGUGGGGUAACGGGUCACCUAGGCGACGAUCCCUAGCUGGUCUGUGAGGAUGACCAGCCAAACUGGAACAGAGACACGGUCCAGACUCCUACGGGAGGCAGCAGUGGGGAAUAUUGCACAAUGGGCGCAAGCCUGAUGCAGCAAUGCCGCGUGUGUGAAAAAGGCCUUCGGGUUGUAAAGCACUUUCAGCGGGGAGGCGUUACCCGCAGAAGAAGCACCGGCUAACUCCGUGCCAGCAGCCGCGGUAAUAC
Molecule: ribosomal RNA, 406 nt
Filed under: uncultured bacterium
Lineage: Bacteria
Description: partial 16S ribosomal RNA
Rfam family: Bacterial small subunit ribosomal RNA
Source: RNAcentral